Long non-coding RNA from Cataglyphis hispanica, 868 nucleotides. RefSeq lists it as uncharacterized. The record is from RefSeq and is a predicted model, not a curated record. The transcript is spliced from 4 exons. NCBI's taxonomy places the organism in Eukaryota, Metazoa, Arthropoda, Insecta, Hymenoptera, Formicidae.
GCCCGGCCGACGCCGCCGAAUUCGAAAGCGUCGCAUCCACGCGGCUGUUGUAGUCACGGAAGUAACCCCGCUGUGUCAAGCGUUAUAAAUACCACUUCUCCUACGUACUACGUAUGACGUACAUGACUUGAAAUUGGUCUCGUUCAGUAAAGCCAAUAAUCGCACGACCAUUGAUAUUCUGUGGACUAUCUUUAUGCGCAUGCGCAGCAAAGAAUACAGCUGUUUCACAGCUUACGUACGUGCAACGAACAUUUUGGCGGUUGGGUUUACAGCGGACAAAGAAAACGAUAUAAUAAAGUAAUUAGAAUAGUGUACUGAUGCUGUGCUUGUGCUUACGCGGGAAAAAAUGGACCGAUCCAACUAUUGCCGCUGAGCAGCAACAUCAUUAAUUUUCGUCUUUGGAAUCAGCAAAUGAACUCUAGGUUACACAAGAUUUGGCAAUUUGCUUUGCUGAAAGCGUGAUAACAUUGAGGCUCCGAUUGAACGAAAUAUACGAAGGUGUAAAGGACGAAAGCGGUUGCGAGGGUGGUGGAAUGGCAGUGGACCGACAACCGCAAAUGAGAAUGGCAGAGGGAACUACGCUGUUCUACGCUUCUCUAGUGACCGAUGAGGCCAAUUCUGCGAACCACGUUUGCUCCGUUCUGAGGCUGUUGCUCUAAACUUUUCUGUUGAUUGAAAUGAAGAAAUUGGAAUUCCGCAUCGCAUUUCCUUUGUUCGGGUUAGGCAUCAAUUAGACUUAAUUGGCACGUACGGAGUACCAUAGACUUUUACCAUUUAUUUUUAUUGUCAGUGAGAUAAUUGUGAUGAUUAUUGUUGAUAAGACAAACAUACCAUGAUUAAUAUCGCGCAGUAGUUAAUAAAUAGGUAU